UACGGAGGGUGCAAGCGUUGUCCGGAUUUAUUGGGUUUAAAGGGUGCGUAGGCGGCUCUUUAAGUCAGUGGUGAAAGCCGACAGCUUAACUGUCGAAAUGCCAUUGAUACUGGGGGAGCUUGAGUACAGUAGAGGUAGGCGGAAUUAAUGGUGUAGCGGUGAAAUGCAUAGAUACCAUUAAGAACACCGAUUGCGAAGGCAGCUUACUAUAGUGUAACUGACGCUGAGGCACGAAAGUGUGGGGAUCAAACAGG
This 254-nucleotide ribosomal RNA is filed under the name uncultured bacterium. Its description in RNAcentral is "partial 16S ribosomal RNA". It matches the Rfam family "Bacterial small subunit ribosomal RNA", at positions 524 to 776 of the family's 1533-position model. The record is from RNAcentral.